GUGCAGGAAGUCGUUGUUGCCGUUUGAUCUAAACUUUCCACCGUUGGAUGAUGUCGAUUUUAACGGUGAUGAUGAUCUCCAAUGCACCGCUUUAUGUCUCUGAUGAUGGUUGAUCUUUGUCAUUAUUAUAUUUUUUUCCUUUUUUGUUUUUUCCCCUCUAUUAUUGUGCGGAAAAAAAAAUUAAGAUGAAAUGAUCUUAAUUCUACGAGAAUGAUGAUGAUGAUGAUGAUGGCAUGUUGUUAUUCGAAUCCCAAAAAAAAAAAAAAACAAAAUUAAUAUAUGAUGAUGAUGAUGAUGAUGAUCUUGUUGUUUAUUGGAACAAAAUGGAUUAGGGCUUGUGUUGUAAGGAGAUCUGGGUUUCUCGUAACUAGCCGUUAUUGAUAACAUGCUUUUAUCUAAAAAUUAUCUGAUUUCGUUUCACAUGAUGCUCUUGCAUAAAAGAAAAUUACAAGUUUUCAUCUGUUCUUGUACUCUCCAUGUAUAUGUAUUGGUAUUACAGAUUGUUACCUGAAUCUUCGUUUCGGUUUUGUUCUUUUGUUCAUUUUGCGGAGCAUAAUAUGUCUUGUGACUUAUGAAGUUCCUUCUGUGAAGAAAUUCUUUACAGCCGCUGCUAAUGAUAUCUUUGCAUGAAACUGCUUUUGCUUUUUCAUUGGUUCAAUAGAGGUUCUCUUGUGACUUGUGAGGAAUGAUGGUUGAAUUUUUUUUUUUUUUUUUAAAUACAAACAAGAUCUAUCCAACUAUCCACAGUAGGAAAGUAUAUGAAAUCAAUCAGCAUUUGAACUAUGAUUCAUCAUUCAUACGUUG
RNAcentral lists this long non-coding RNA (804 nucleotides) under Citrus maxima (pomelo). Its description in RNAcentral is "long non-coding RNA (CMAX_LNC001882)". Lineage: Eukaryota; Viridiplantae; Streptophyta; Magnoliopsida; Sapindales; Rutaceae. The record is from RNAcentral.